This 253-nucleotide ribosomal RNA is filed under the name uncultured bacterium. RNAcentral describes it as "partial 16S ribosomal RNA". It matches the Rfam family "Bacterial small subunit ribosomal RNA", at positions 524 to 776 of the family's 1533-position model. The record is from RNAcentral.
UACAGAGGGGGCAAGCGUUAUUCGGAAUUAUUGGGCGUAAAGGGCGCGUAGGCGGCCUGGCAAGUGGAAGGUGAAAUCCCUCGGCUUAACCGAGGAACUGCCCUCCAAACUGCUUGGCUUGAGUCCGGGAGAGGUGAGUGGAAUUCCCAGUGUAGCGGUGAAAUGCGUAGAUAUUGGGAGGAACACCGGUGGCGAAGGCGGCAUCCUGGACCAAUACUGACGCUGAGGAGCGAAAGCCAGGGGAGCAAACGGG